Molecule: ribosomal RNA, 2153 nt
Filed under: Lonsdalea quercina subsp. quercina
Lineage: Bacteria; Pseudomonadati; Pseudomonadota; Gammaproteobacteria; Enterobacterales; Pectobacteriaceae
Description: bacterial LSU rRNA
Rfam family: Bacterial large subunit ribosomal RNA
Source: RNAcentral
AGCGUACACGGUGGAUGCCUAGGCAGUCAGAGGCGAUGAAGGGCGUGCUAAUCUGCGAAAAGCGUCGGCAAGGUGAUAUGAACCGUUAUACCCGACGAUACCCGAAUGGGGAAACCCAGUGCAAUCCGUUGCACUAUCGCAACAUGAAUACAUAGUGUUGCGAGGCGAACCGGGGGAACUGAAACAUCUCAGUACCCCGAGGAAAAGAAAUCAACCGAGAUUCCCCUAGUAGCGGCGAGCGAACGGGGAGGAGCCCAGAACCUGAAUCAGUUUGUGUCUUAGUGGAAGCGUCUGGAAAGUCGCACGACAGAGGGUGAUAGUCCCGUACACGAAGAGGCAUGGAUUGUGAGUUCGAUGAGUAGGGCGGGACACGUGUUAUCCUGUCUGAAUAUGGGGGGACCAUCCUCCAAGGCUAAAUACUCCUGACUGACCGAUAGUGAACCAGUACCGUGAGGGAAAGGCGAAAAGAACCCCGGCGAGGGGAGUGAAAUAGAACCUGAAACCGUGUACGUACAAGCAGUGGGAGCCUUGAUUAAUCAGGGUGACUGCGUACCUUUUGUAUAAUGGGUCAGCGACUUAUAUUCUGUAGCAAGGUUAACCGAAUAGGGGAGCCGCAGGGAAACCGAGUCUUAACUGGGCGUUAAGUUGCAGGGUAUAGACCCGAAACCCGGUGAUCUAGCCAUGGGCAGGUUGAAGGUUGGGUAACACUAACUGGAGGACCGAACCGACUAAUGUUGAAAAAUUAGCGGAUGACUUGUGGCUGGGGGUGAAAGGCCAAUCAAACCGGGAGAUAGCUGGUUCUCCCCGAAAGCUAUUUAGGUAGCGCCUCGUGAACUCAUCUUCGGGGGUAGAGCACUGUUUCGACUAGGGGGCCAUCCCGGCUUACCAACUCGAUGCAAACUGCGAAUACCGAAGAAUGUUAUCACGGGAGACACACGGCGGGUGCUAACGUCCGUCGUGAAGAGGGAAACAACCCAGACCGCCAGCUAAGGUCCCAAAGUCAUGGNUAAGUGGGAAACGAUGUGGGAAGGCCCAGACAGCCAGGAUGUUGGCUUAGAAGCAGCCAUCAUUUAAAGAAAGCGUAAUAGCUCACUGGUCGAGUCGGCCCGCGCGGAAGAUGUAACGGGGCUAAACCAUGCACCGAAGCUGCGGCAGCGANACUUAGGUGUUGUUGGGNAGGGGAGCGUUCUGUAAGCCUGCGAAGGUGACCUGUGAGGGUUGCUGGAGGUAUCAGAAGUGCGAAUGCUGACAUAAGUAACGAUAAUGCGGGUGAAAAACCCGCACGCCGGAAGACCAAGGGUUCCUGUCCAACGUUAAUCGGGGCAGGGUGAGUCGACCCCUAAGGCGAGGCCGAAAGGCGUAGUCGAUGGGAAACAGGUUAAUAUUCCUGUACUUGGUGUUACUGCGAAGGGGGGACGGAGAAGGCUAGGUUAUCCGGGCGACGGUUGUCCCGGUUUAAGCGUGUAGGUGGAUGUUUUUGGUAAAUCCGGAACAUCAUUAACACUGAGGCGUGAUGACGAGUCACUACGGUGAUGAAGUGACCGAUGCCAAGCUUCCAGGAAAAGCCUCUAAGCUCCAGGUAACACGAAAUCGUACCCCAAACCGACACAGGUGGUCAGGUAGAGAAUACCAAGGCGCUUGAGAGAACUCGGGUGAAGGAACUAGGCAAAAUGGUGCCGUANCUUCGGGAGAAGGCACGCUGGCGUUGGUGAAGGGACUUGCUCCCGGAGCUGAUACCAGUCGCAGAUACCAGCUGGCUGCAACUGUUUAAUAAAAACACAGCACUGUGCAAACACGAAAGUGGCCGUAUACGGUGUGACGCCUGCCCGGUGCCGGAAGGUUAAUUGAUGGGGUCAGCCGCAAGGCGAAGCUCUUGAUCGAAGCCCCGGUAANCNGCGGCCGUAACUAUAACGGUCCUAAGGUAGCGAAAUUCCUUGUCGGGUAAGUUCCGACCUGCACGAAUGGCAUAAUGAUGGCCAGGCUGUCUCCACCCGAGACUCAGUGAAAUUGAACUCGCUGUGAAGAUGCAGUGUACCCGCGGCAAGACGGAAAGACCCCGUGAACCUUUACUAUAGCUUGACACUGAACCUUGAGCCUUGAUGUGUAGGAUAGGUGGGAGGCUUUGAAGUGUGGACGCCAGUCUGCAUGGAGCC